UACAGAGGGUGCAAGCGUUAAUCGGAUUUACUGGGCGUAAAGGGUGUGUAGGUGGUUUGACAAGUCGGUUGUGAAAUCCCCGGGCUCAACCUGGGAACUGCUUCCGAGACUGUUUGACUAGAGUACGGUAGAGGGCGGUGGAAUUUCCGGUGUAGCGGUGAAAUGCGUAGAUAUCGGAAGGAACACCAAUGGCGAAGGCAGCCGCCUGGGCCUGUACUGACACUGAAACACGAAAGCGUGGGGAUCAAACAGGAUUAGAAACCCUAGUAGU
This 271-nucleotide ribosomal RNA is filed under the name uncultured bacterium. RNAcentral's name for it is "partial 16S ribosomal RNA". It matches the Rfam family "Bacterial small subunit ribosomal RNA", at positions 524 to 794 of the family's 1533-position model. The record is from RNAcentral.